CACAGCGCAAGCUGGUAAGACCCCUCAUAGACGAUGAGGUUGAUAGGUUCGGUGUGGAAGCGCGGUAACGCGUGGAGCUGACGAAUACUAAUCGGUCGAGGACUUAUCCACA
RNAcentral lists this ribosomal RNA (112 nucleotides) under Brevibacillus parabrevis. Its description in RNAcentral is "partial 23S ribosomal RNA". It matches the Rfam family "Bacterial large subunit ribosomal RNA", at positions 2815 to 2925 of the family's 2925-position model. Lineage: Bacteria; Bacillati; Bacillota; Bacilli; Caryophanales; Paenibacillaceae. The record is from RNAcentral.